GGCGCGGGCAUGUAUAUCCUUACCUUAAUCAAGGGCAUAUAAACAAAGACAGACAAGAACAAGUGCAUGCGGUUAAAUCAAAGAGUCAUUUGUCCAAUAUCUUAUACCAAAGCAACUUUGUAUUAAACUAAAAUUAUCAAUAAGUAGAGUAGUACUUCAUGGGUUAAGUAAAAUAAUAUAGCUUCAACAGAAUAUACAUGAUUGCAAUUAGCGAGUGGUUUAGUAUUUAAUUGAUCAACAAAGUAACACCAUUGCAAUCAUAGGACGAAAUUUCCUGAUAUAGUAAAAACUAUACGGGAAUAUUUCUUUUUGACAGGUCAGACUACUGACGGCUGAAGAUGCUGGGAUUCGAGGAUGCUGCAUCAUCUCCACAUCACCAUUUCCAAUUAAUUAAGCUCGAUUAAUUUAUGUUUAACAAGCUCAAAUGGGGCUAAAUCCUCCCUUUUUAUUGAGAUUAAUAAUUAAGCUUGGCUUAUUCAAUGUAGAAAAAGAAAGAGGCGCCACUAUCUGAUACAUAAUCAUAAUUUUAAUAAGCCACCCUCGCCUCCAUUUGUG
This 555-nucleotide long non-coding RNA is filed under the name Panax ginseng (ginseng). RNAcentral describes it as "long non-coding RNA (PGIN_LNC016534)". Lineage: Eukaryota; Viridiplantae; Streptophyta; Magnoliopsida; Apiales; Araliaceae. The record is from RNAcentral.